RNAcentral lists this ribosomal RNA (225 nucleotides) under uncultured bacterium. RNAcentral describes it as "partial 16S ribosomal RNA". It matches the Rfam family "Bacterial small subunit ribosomal RNA", at positions 91 to 334 of the family's 1533-position model. The record is from RNAcentral.
ACGAGCGGCGGACGGCUGAGUAACGCGUAGGAACCUACCCCAAACUGAGGGAUAAGCACCAGAAAUGGUGUCUAAUACCGCAUGUGCUCCACGGAGUAAAGCUUCGGCGGUUUGGGAAGGGCCUGCGUCCGAUUAGCUUGUUGGUGAGGUAAUGGCCCACCAAGGCGACGAUCGGUAGCUGGUCUGAGAGGAUGAUCAGCCAGACUGGGACUGAGAACGGCCCAG